Otolemur garnettii (small-eared galago) is the source of this 103-nucleotide small nuclear RNA. Lineage: Eukaryota; Metazoa; Chordata; Mammalia; Primates; Galagidae. The record is from Ensembl.
GUGCUUGCUUCCACAGCACAUAUACUAAAAUUGGAAUAAGAGAAGAUUAGCAUGGGCCCUGCACAAGGAUGAUAUGCAAAUUCAUGAAGCAUUCCAUAUUUAA